Molecule: long non-coding RNA, 597 nt
Filed under: Populus trichocarpa (black cottonwood)
Lineage: Eukaryota; Viridiplantae; Streptophyta; Magnoliopsida; Malpighiales; Salicaceae
Description: long non-coding RNA (PTRI_LNC000097)
Source: RNAcentral
CUGCUUAAAGGGUUUCUGGUACUGGUUCUUCACCUCCCUCUUUUAUUUCCAUACCUACAUCACAUGGUUGAACUAAAGCUUAGGCGUGAGUGGUCCUUAAAGUAAAUUAAAGUGGUUCGAAUUGAUUUAAGAACUUGUUGCGAACUUGUUGGAUUGAAUGAAAAACUUUACUUGUUGUUUGUAACAUACUCCAUGAAAUUUGUUGAUUUGUCCACCAGGUUGUCGAGUCCCCAGCAGCAUGUGACUAGUUUUUGUGGCAGGCACAUAAAAGUGCUGAAAGGGCAGUUGUGUCAUAUGGAAUCUGUGGGCAUCCCUUUCUGCUUCAUGGUCAAAGGGGAAUAUGGUAAAAACAAGUGCACGAUGGCUGGUUUAGGCGGGAGGAAACAAAACUGAGGGGAGGCAGUCCGUCUCAGCGACACGCAAUCUGCCACAUAAAAUUAAGCUUCCUUUUUUUGUUUUUUCAAUCAGGGUUAAAUACGAAUCAAACAUGUAGCAGGUGGGGAAUCCUCUGUCUAUCAAAAGCACUUGAACAACAACAGAGUGCUUAAAAAAGCCUCGAGAGCUGGUCAUGCGGAUGCUAUUUUUCUUUCUUGCGGC